This 191-nucleotide ribosomal RNA is filed under the name uncultured bacterium. RNAcentral's name for it is "partial 16S ribosomal RNA". It matches the Rfam family "Bacterial small subunit ribosomal RNA", at positions 1308 to 1500 of the family's 1533-position model. The record is from RNAcentral.
CAACUCGCCUGCAUGAAGUCGGAAUUGCUAGUAAUCGCGGAUCAGCAUGCCGCGGUGAAUACGUUCCCGGGCCUUGUACACACCGCCCGUCACACCAUGGGAGUCGGUAACACCCGAAGCCGAUAGUCUAACGAAAGAGGACGUCGUCGAAGGUGGGAUUGAUGACUGGGGUGAAGUCGUAACAAGGUACC